RNAcentral lists this ribosomal RNA (468 nucleotides) under uncultured bacterium. Its description in RNAcentral is "partial 16S ribosomal RNA". It matches the Rfam family "Bacterial small subunit ribosomal RNA", at positions 28 to 523 of the family's 1533-position model. The record is from RNAcentral.
GAUGAACGCUGGCGGCGUGCCUAACACAUGCAAGUCGAGCGAUUCUCUUCGGAGAAGAGCGGCGGACGGGUGAGUAACGCGUGGGUAACCUGCCCUGUACACACGGAUAACAUACCGAAAGGUAUGCUAAUACGAGAUAAUAUACUUUUAUCGCAUGGUAGAAGUAUCAAAGCUCCGGCGGUACAGGAUGGACCCGCGUCUGAUGAGCUAGUUGGUAAGGUAACGGCUUACAAAGGCGACGAUCAGUAGUCGACCUGAGAGGGUGAUCGGCCACAUUGGAACUGAGACACGGUCCAAACUCCUACGGGAGGCAGCAGUGGGGAAUAUUGCACAAUGGGCGAAAGCCUGAUGCAGCAACGCCGCGUGAGCGAUGAAGGCCUUCGGGUCGUAAAGCUCUGUCCUCAAGGAAGAUAAUGACGGUACUUGAGGAGGAAGCCCCGGCUAACUACGUGCCAGCCGCCGCCGUAA